UUAAAUUUGUUUUUUUAUUUUUUGAUAUUGCAUAUCAUUUAAAAAAAAUUUUAUUGAUAAUAAAAAAUAGAAUUAAAAGGUAGAAUUUUUUUUAUUUUUAUUGUUACAUAAUAAAAAAUAAAAAAUUUAGGGUUGAAAAGUCGACUUUUAAGAUAUCUGUUUAAUUUUAUAUAUUAGAAAUUUAUAAAUUUUAAUUUUAACAUUAUAAAUAGUAUAAAUUAAAGUUUUUUUGUUUUUAGUUUUAUAACUGUUUAUUUUUUUUUGUAUUAUUUAUUUUCUUUAUUUGUUAAUUUUUUAUCAAAUAAAUUAUUUUAAAAUUAGUAAAUUUGUUUAAAUUAAGUUUUUUUAAUUAAUUUAAUUAAAUAACUAAAGGGUUAAUCAAAUGUUUUUUAAAGACUAAGACUUUUAUAUAAAGUUAGCUUCUGCCCAGUGAUUAUUUUAAAUGGCAGUCUUAGCGUGAGGACAUUAAGGUAGCAAAAUAAUUUGUGCUUUUAUUGAGUUCCAGUAUGAAUGAAGUUAUUGGUUAAUUAUUUUUUUGUUUUAUAUAGAAUUUUUAAUUGAUAUAAAAAAUUAUUAUUAUAGUUAUACAAAGAUAAGUCUUCGAAAAUUCUUUUUUGUGUUUAUAAAUAUUUUAUAAUUACAAAAAUUUUCUAGGGCAGAAUUUUAUAUAAUUUUUAAUUCUAUUAAUAAUUUUAAGAAUUACUUCGGAGUUAACAGAAAAUCAUACCUAAUCUAGUUCUUAUAGUAAGGUAAGUUUUACAUCGAUGUUGUAUUUAAGUUUUUUAAGAGAGGAGAAUGCUUAAUUUUUAAGACUGUUCUUCUUAUAGUUAAUUUAACGUGAUAUUAGUUUAAUUCAUUGUGAGAUAGAAUUGUUUAUCUUGAUAAUUAUUUUUUUUUAGUUUUAAUAGUACGAAAGGAAAAUUAAAAAAAGUUUAAAACUUUAUAAGAAUUUUCUUA
RNAcentral lists this ribosomal RNA (957 nucleotides) under Uncinaria sanguinis. Its description in RNAcentral is "16S ribosomal RNA". The record is from RNAcentral. Lineage: Eukaryota; Metazoa; Nematoda; Chromadorea; Rhabditida; Ancylostomatidae.